GCAUGUUUCUUGGAAAUUCUCUUAUUUCUUGGAAAAGCAAAAAGCAAGAUAGGGUGUCUAAGUCCUCUAUGAGUCAGGGUAUCGUGUUAUAUCCUCUGCAUGUUCUGAGAUCAUUUGGCUUUGAGAUAGUCUACUAAUUACAAAAUUCAAGGUCAGCUGAAUAUGGUCUACUAAAUGCAAAAGUCAAGGACAGCUGAUUAUGAGAUCUGGUCUACUAAAUGCAAAAGUCAAGGACAGCUGAUUAUGGGAUCCAGUCUACUAAUUACAAAAGUCAAGGGCAGCUGAUUAUGGUCUAGUAAUUGCACUAAUCAAGGGCAGCUGAUUAUGGUUUACUAUAUUAGCUGUAUAUUAGCAUAUCUGUAAUUAAUAUAUUAGAUAGGUAGAUAUAUUCUAACCAGAAGAGAAGGUACACAGUUUUCUAUAGACAUUCUUUCAAAAAAAAAAAAAACAAAGAUCUAAAUUACAAGAAAGGCUGCCAACCACAAUAUGAUUGACCCAAAAGGAUAUCUUGAAACCAAAUAAUUGAUCAAAAUAAUUAACCCAAGAAGAAUAACAACUCAAAAAGUUUGGAAAGGCGGAGAAAUUCAAAUAACUGGCUCUGAUACUGUGACAAGUUUUCUAGAUCCAAGACUGAAUGCCGUCUUUUGUGCAUCUUUUCCAUUUAAAUAGAAAAACUGUGUACCUUCUCUUCUGGUUAGAAUAUAUCUACCUAUCUAAUAUAUUAAUUACAUAUAUGCUAAUAUACAGCUAAUAUAGUAGACCAUAAUCAGCUACCCUUGAUUAGUGCAAUUAGUAGACCAUAAUCAACUGCCCUUGACUUUUGUAAUUAGUAGACUAGAUCCCAUAAUCAGCUGUCCUUAACUUUUGCAUUUAGUAGACCAGAUCCCAUAAUCAGCUGUCCUUGACUUUUGCAUUUAGUAGACCAUAAUUAGCUGACCUUGACUUUUGUAAUUAGUAGACUAGAUCCCAUUUCCCUUGAUAAUUAAAUGCAUAACAUAGCUAAAUUCAACUAAGUUGCAAAAAAAAAAAAACAUAUAAUGACUAUUUGUAUAAUUUUUCCUGUCACUUGAAUAUUAGCUCAUCACUAUGAUUAGCUGAUUUACAGAAUGAGAUAGUUUUGUAUAGAAGUUGGAGGGAAAUUUUCCAUUUGUGUGUAAAGAAGGAAGAGAUUUGUCCGACAAAAAGAAUCAGGGAUCAAAACAGGCUAGCAGUGAGCAGAUUCCGUCUGUAACAUUUUUACUUCUAAUUCUAGCAAAGGCUCAAGGCUCAUGAUAAAUGCAUUUGGAGUAGUAGUAUAGAGGUAAAGAUAUAGCAUACCUUAAUUAGGUAAGGAUGUUGUUUUCUUCUUCAUCUCAAUCCAAAUAUCCAUUCUUGAUUUCAUUAGUUUCUUUUGUGCCAGAUUCCCCUACUUGAAGGAAUCAGUGUGCUUGAUUCUACAUGGAUUAUUUGAAACAAUAUGUUCUUACUUUCAAAUUUUUAUGUAUAGUACUUACUGCUUUCUUAAAUUUUUUGUACUUUAUCAAACAAAUUAGGUCCAAAAUAACUUUAGCAACCAUGUUGAACUUAGGUACCUACUCCUAGGCGGGGCCUAAUGCCCUAGUUAUAUUAGGCAGAGGACUUGGACAGACAAUUUAGACAGGAUCUUAAAGGUGUGGUUGGCCUUUCUGGAGUUAGGAGGGUUUUUGAUCUUGAGGUUAGUACUAUGAACAGUCAAGUCUUCAAAGCAAUUGUAAAAGACAUGGACAUUUCAAAAGUUAUAGCUGUAUUGUUUUCAUUAAUCGUAAUUGUCAAAUACCAUAAAAACUACCACCUUUCUGAAUAAUUAUUUGAAAUUUCGUCAAAUCAGUUGUACUAAUGAUCAUGACAUACUUGCAGAAGACAAUUUGCAUGAAUAAAUCAAUAGAAAAUAGUAUUGAAACUUCAUAACGUGCAAAAGAUGAAUACGUUGUCGUAACAAUACAGUCAACUCUGCAAGAGAGUAAAAAGAAAUAGUAUUGGUAAAUAUUGUAAAACUUCCUAUUGUACUGUUUUAUUAUCAAUACGAUCAAAUCUUUCACAUAAAAAAGUGAGAAUUGUUUAUUGCUACGGUUAAAAAUUUUUGUGUGGUAGAUACAGGAUAUAGUUGGUAUACUACUUUCUACCUUUGGGUGCAACUGUCAGGCAAAUGUGCUAUAUGCAGGGGAAGGAGAAGAAAGUCCCAUGACUUAUUUUGCAGAAGAAAACCCCUUGUCCUCAAGGAUUGGAAGGGUACUUAUUGAACUGAAGGGUAAAAAAAAGCAUGAAUGCUCAACAGGAGAAGAAACUGAUUCAUGUGCAACUUGCUCAGCUCCAUUCUUUGUGGCUAGCAGUUGUUAAUUGUGAAGAUUAAAAGGUGUACCAGGGCAUUCCUUUGUCCGAUAAGACCGAGGGAGUAGUGGCAGUGGUGAAUAAAUCAGGAGCAAGGAGCUGUUUUCAGUCUAUGAAGCAAAUUUAGUGGGAUGGGAUGGUGGAUUUCGAAAUUUAGUCAAGUGGAACCCUUGCAAGAGAAUGGGUGGAGGCCUUGCUACAGAAACUAGAAGCAGAAGCGAAAAGGCCCAAGCCCACAUCACCAAAACGUGCAUGGAAAAAGCACUAGAUGAGCAGCACUUUUUUUUUUUCCCAAAACUUCAUAGGGUACGUUUGGUUCUACAGAAUUAGAAUUGAAUUAGAAUUAAAAUUCUAUAGAAUUGGAAUUCUAUGAAUUGGAAUUUCAAGUCAUUUCAAUUCUUUCGUUUGGGAAAUGCAUAGAAUUGAUACGGAAUUUAUUUGAAAUUCCAAAUUCUUUGUUUGUA
Non-coding RNA from Coffea arabica (coffee), 2810 nucleotides. The record is from RefSeq and is a predicted model, not a curated record. NCBI's taxonomy places the organism in Eukaryota, Viridiplantae, Streptophyta, Magnoliopsida, Gentianales, Rubiaceae.